Molecule: long non-coding RNA, 1926 nt
Filed under: Mytilus galloprovincialis (Mediterranean mussel)
Lineage: Eukaryota; Metazoa; Mollusca; Bivalvia; Mytilida; Mytilidae
Source: RNAcentral
UGUGCAGCAAAAUAUCCAAACAAAUAGGAAACUGCACUGUUUAAAUAUUUUGGUAAUAAGAAAAACCUAACAAGUCAAAAAACAUUUAAUUUUAAACUUUUAUAACAUAAACAUUAACAUAAAUCAACCAUACAAAAUAGAGAUAUAUAAUAAAUUCAACAAUGGGAACAUGCUACCAUUACAAGGAGAUGUAUGUAAACUGUAACAACAAGGUCAUAAUCACAUUAGAAGGGGGAAAUGUAACACAAGAUUUAUAUCAACUGUUACAUUGGUCAUAUACCAUCAUUGUAAAAGGGUGGCUACACAAGAUUUAUUCAAACUGUAACAACAAGGUCAUAAUCAUAUUACAAGGGGGAGAUGUUACAUACGAUGUUAACUUUAACAUUGGGAACAUGCUACCAUUACAAGGUAAUGUUACAUAUGAUGUAUGUCAACUAUAACGAGGUCAUAAUAUCAUUAGAAGGGGGGGAAUGUAACACAAGAUUUAUAUCAACAGUUACAUAGGUCUUAUACCAAUUCAAUGUAUAUUCGUAAAAGGGGGCUGCUACAUAAGAAUUUUGAAACUUUAUCAACAAGGUCAUAUACAAUAUAAGGGUGGGGGGAUAUAACAUGAGAUAUAUAUCAACUGAAACAUUAGGUAUAUACAUUGUGUACUUUAAUACAGUCUACCAUUAUAAAGGAGGGAGAGAUUUAUUCAAAUUACAGCAUUGGGCAUAUACAUAUUUUAUUUAAUUCUACCAUUAUAGGGGGGUAAUAAAAUUGAUAUAAACUUCUAAUGAGGGCAUAGUAAUUUUAUAAGGGGGAAGGUGUAACAUUGGACAUGUACUACCUUUGUAAAAAGAAUGUUACAUGUGAUUAUUGUCAAUUAUAAUAAUGAGGAUAUGAUACCAUUAGAUGUAACAUAAAUUAUGUUAUGGUUGAUAUCAGUAGUAAUGUUAUAAUAUCUCCAAUGUUAGAGAUAUCUUAUUUCAAGUUCGAGAUGAAUCAUUCAGACGUACAUUACCUGUUACAAUUUGACAUGAAGACAUUGCAAGGGGUGUAAAUAUCUUAUAUACAGGUAUAUAAACAGCAUACAUUUAUAUACAUUUAUAUGAAGCACUAAUAAGUAACAAUUAAAACAGGUCUUUCUACUAGUCAUUACAAUAACACAGUACAUUUACCAAUAUAAUUCACUGCCUGUUCAACAUGAACAAUUUUAAGUAAAGUAUGCUUAUUGUAUACUAGGUAUUAUUCAAAAAUUCUGAAGAAAAAAAAAAUUAACAAGCAUUAUAAGAGUAUUGCAUGACAAUACAUAGUUACAAACUGGUUAAAAAUUCAUCAUACUGGAACAAAAUGCUAACAUUAUCCAAAAAUGCUAACAUUAUCCAUAGUUGUCAUGGUAUUUAACUAUAUAACAAAUAUUAAGACAAUAUCUUCAAGCAUGACGAAAAAGUGUGGAAAACUGAUUUGCCAGGCUGACAGAUGGACAGACAGACGGACAGAGUGCAAACCUUAAGUUCCCUUCGACUUAGUCAGUAGGGAAAUAAAGAAAAGAUUUACAAAUUAAAGAUAAUGGUAUAAUUCUUGGCUUUCACAUUUGUUUCAAAUCUAUUAAUGGUAUGUAUACAGUUUAUUCAUAUUUUUAUUGUUCAAUACCAAAAACAAGUUCUCAUUAAAAAAAGUCUUAUAAUUUACUUAGAAGUUAUAUUGGUCUAUGAGUAAGAUGUGUGAGCUUUAGAAGUUAUAUUGAUCUAUGAGUAAGAUGUGUGAGCUUUAUCUGAGAUGUAUUUUUAAUGGAUAUGGAAUUAAGUUUUGUUCUUUGUAAUAUGAAGUGGUAAAAUGAUUGUGUAUUAAUAAACAAAGUUAUAAAUAUACACAUAUAUUUGUGUUUUUUCCCUUCAGAUUCUUUUUACAAAUAUAAAAAAGAAUCUGAAGCAAAAAAAAAAA